Molecule: ribosomal RNA, 400 nt
Filed under: Pseudogonia rufifrons
Lineage: Eukaryota; Metazoa; Arthropoda; Insecta; Diptera; Tachinidae
Description: partial 16S rRNA
Source: RNAcentral
GGCCGCAGUAUAUUAACUGUGCAAAGGUAGCAUAAUCAUUAGUCUUUUAAUUGAAGGCUGGUAUGAAUGGUUGGACAAAAUAUUAACUGUUUCAUUUAAAAUUUUAAUAGAAUUUUAUUUUUUAGUUAAAAAGCUAAAAUUAAUUUAAAAGACGAGAAGACCCUAUAAAUCUUUAUAUUUAUUUUAUAAUAAUUUUAUAGAAAAUUUAAAUUUUUAUAAUUGAUAAUAUUUUAUUGGGGUGAUAUUAAAAUUUAUUAAACUUUUAAUUAUUUUUACCAUUAAUUUAUGAAUUUUUGAUCCGUUAUUAACGAUUAAAAAAAUAAGUUACUUUAGGGAUAACAGCGUAAUUUUUUUGGAGAGUUCACAUUAAUAAAAAAGAUUGCGACCUCGAUGUUGGAUU